Molecule: ribosomal RNA, 497 nt
Filed under: uncultured bacterium
Lineage: Bacteria
Description: partial 16S ribosomal RNA
Rfam family: Bacterial small subunit ribosomal RNA
Source: RNAcentral
GAUGAACGCUGGCGGCGUGCCUAAUACAUGCAAGUCGAGCGAACAGACGUGGAGCUUGCUCCUCUGACGUUAGCGGCGGACGGGUGAGUAACACGUGGAUAACCUACCUAUAAGACUGGGAUAACUUCGGGAAACCGGAGCUAAUACCGGAUAAUAUAUUGAACCGCAUGGUUCAAUAGUGAAAGACGGUUUUGCUGUCACUUAUAGAUGGAUCCGCGCCGCAUUAGCUAGUUGGUAAGGUAACGGCUUACCAAGGCAACGAUGCGUAGCCGACCUGAGAGGGUGAUCCGCCACACCGGAACUGAGAAAACGUCCAGAACCCUACGGGAGGCAGCAGGAGGGAAUCUUCCGGAAUGGGCGAAAGCUUGACGGAGCAACGCCGCGUGGGUGAAGAAGGUCUUCGGGUCGUAAAACUCUGUUAUUAGGGAAGAACAAAUGUGUAAGUAACUAUGCACGUCUUGACGGUACCUAAUCAGAAAGCCACGGCUAACUACGUG